RNAcentral lists this ribosomal RNA (109 nucleotides) under Lewinella cohaerens. Lineage: Bacteria; Pseudomonadati; Bacteroidota; Saprospiria; Saprospirales; Lewinellaceae. The record is from RNAcentral.
UGGUGGCUAUAGCAAGGAGGUUCACCUCUUCCCAUUCCGAACAGAGAAGUUAAGCUCUUUAGCGCCGAUGGUACUGCCUUUAGGUGGGAGAGUAGGUCGCUGCCAAUUU